AAGUCGUAACAAGGUUUCCGUAGGUGAACCUGCGGAAGGAUCAUUAGUGAAUCUUCAAAAGUCGGCUGGUUGGAUUGUGCUGGUGGAGACACAUGUGCACAUCUGCCGGUCGCAAACCCACACACCUGUGCAUCUAUGACUCUGAGUGCCGCUUUGCAUGGCCUUGAUCGGCCUGGCGCUCGAGUACUUUUCACACACUCUCGAAUGUAACGGAAUGUCUUGUUGUGCAUAACGUACAAAUCAAAACAACUUUCAACAACGGAUCUCUUGGCUCUC
This 276-nucleotide unclassified non-coding RNA is filed under the name Serendipita sp. Its description in RNAcentral is "partial contains small subunit ribosomal RNA, internal transcribed spacer 1, and 5.8S ribosomal RNA". The stretch from base 1 to 46 matches the Rfam family "Eukaryotic small subunit ribosomal RNA", at positions 1786 to 1831 of the family's 1831-position model. Lineage: Eukaryota; Fungi; Basidiomycota; Agaricomycetes; Sebacinales; Serendipitaceae. The record is from RNAcentral.